This 83-nucleotide transfer RNA is filed under the name Arion ater ater. RNAcentral's name for it is "tRNA-Gly". The record is from RNAcentral. Lineage: Eukaryota; Metazoa; Mollusca; Gastropoda; Stylommatophora; Arionidae.
CUUUUUAUUAGUAUAAUCUCAAUUACAAUUACCUUCCAAGUAAGAAAUUUUUUCAGGGAAAUGCUAUUAAUAGGUUAAGGCAA